RNAcentral lists this RNase P RNA (397 nucleotides) under Treponema sp. RNAcentral describes it as "RNase P RNA component class A". It matches the Rfam family "Bacterial RNase P class A". From Rfam's summary of the family: Ribonuclease P (RNase P) is a ubiquitous endoribonuclease, found in archaea, bacteria and eukarya as well as chloroplasts and mitochondria. Its best characterised activity is the generation of mature 5'-ends of tRNAs by cleaving the 5'-leader elements of precursor-tRNAs. Lineage: Bacteria; Pseudomonadati; Spirochaetota; Spirochaetia; Treponematales; Treponemataceae. The record is from RNAcentral.
GCAGAUGGAAUAUGACCGCGCUGGUGCAGCUUAAUGAUAAGAUGUGCCAGUGAGACAAAGUCCGGGCUCCUCCGGAAAAAUGCCGGGUAAUAACCGGGCAAACAGUGAAACUGUAUUUCUGCAAAGAAAUGCAAAGUUCCUGUUUGACAGAAAGUGCAACAGAAAAUAUACCGUCUGCCGUGUGCAGAUAAGGGUGAAAAGGUGGUGUAAGAGACCACCGCGCAUCAGGCAACUGAUGUGGCAGUGCAAACCUCAUUGGGAGCAAAACCAAGCAGCAGGCAGUUCCGGCUUAUCCUGCGGGUAGGUUGCUUGAAAUGCAGGGCAAUCUGCAUUCAAGAUAGAUGGUCAUGCCGAUUAUAUCGGUUUCAGAACCCGGCUUACCGUUCCAUCUGCUUUU